This is a non-coding RNA of Sus scrofa (pig), 3567 nucleotides long. Lineage: Eukaryota; Metazoa; Chordata; Mammalia; Artiodactyla; Suidae. The record is from RefSeq and is a predicted model, not a curated record.
UUGCCACUACCGCUCGUCCAAUCAUUGAGAGGAAGGGGCGGGCCGAGGUCCACGCUUGUGACAAAAAUUUCGGCCCGCCGCAAAACAUUUUAUCUCUCUUUUUUGGCCUUUCGCGUGAGCGGUCUUGGAAACUGCGUUCCCAUGGCGCCUGUCUGUGGCAGAAAUGAAAGUGAGGGGCAAGGCGCUUCGGGUUUCCGCCUAGAGCCGCCUGGCAGAGGGUAUCGCUGGUCCUGGGUCCAGGCCGGUCGGGAAUGCCGCGGUCGGCAGCAGCUCGCCCCGUUCCCUGCAGUUUCCGGAAUCCUUGCGGGUGUCAUCGUAGCCAUAGCUGUCCACCUAUACCGCUGGACCCCAGUAUACUUGUCAGUUUGGCAGAGGGAAUGUUUGCUGGCUCCCCAAAAGAGAAAGACAUCUAAACGUUUUAAAGAAGUGAAGCAAAAGCUACCCAGAGCUCUGAUAACCUUUCUUGUUUCUGUAAAGUUUCUGAGAUGUGAACCAAUCCCAGUUAUGAUGGAACUGAAAUGGCAGUCUGGCAUGAUAUAUUUAGGAAUGAAACUGAAAAAAUGCACAACCUAAAAGUUGAGAAUUAUGUUUCAUUUGGUGACUCUCUGCGGACUUAAACCUGAAGACAGUCUUUCAGGUUGCUCUGAAGGACUACUCCAAAGAGAACUGGACCCAGUGUUAAAAGAGGACAUUUGCUACAUACCACAUGGUGCUCUGGAAAUAGCUCAACAAAUGCAGAAUAAACUGUUAAGCUAAUAGGCCUCCAAAUCCAGAACCAUCUCAAACAGAUAAAAUCAGCCACAUUCUGCACUAUGAUCAUAGAUGGGAGCGCUGGAUCACUUCCAAAGAAAAUCUCUCCGUCUUCAUGUGCCAUGUUCCCCAGAGUGAAGAAGGUCUGAACUUCUAGUUUGGCAUCAUCAUUCUGUGGCUUCCGAAUCCAGGGAAAAGGUUAAAAAUGUCCAGCAGAUGCUGUCUUGGCUUUAAGAAAUGCUUCUAUCAAACCAUCAGAGCAAGCAAGGAAAUUUGUCUAAAUGCCCUGAUUUCAUGUAUUUUUUUUCCUUCUCAAAGUGACCUAGCACUUCUCUGCUGGACUCUUGUACUUCCACAAAGCCUCAGAUGUGCAUAAUUGUCUAAGGCAGAAUUCUCUGAGGCUCCUAGACCAUGGCUGAGAAGGGCUAGAGCUGGUUCACAGCUCACUUUAGGGCCCAGAGCUGGGAUGAAGUCUCCAUGCCUACUACCUGAUGCACAGGAUAUUGCAUUUCAAGCCUUUGAAAGCCAGAUUGCACCUCCCUACGAGUGGAAAAACACGCAAUAAGGGAGGACAUAAAAAAAAGAGGACAAUCACACUCAGCUUUCUUUCAAGAGAAGAGGUGAGAAUUCCUGGCUGAAUGGGGUGGAUUAGGUUUGGUGUUUGCAGUUAAGCCUGAGUAAGGGGAACUGUAGCAUUAUGGGAUUCUGCGUAGUCACUCCCUGAGCCAGAGUUUCCAUGUGAUCAGAGAACUCAGGAUCGAGGGGAAGCACUGCCAGGAGGCCGCUGGCUUAGGACCCUCCAGGGUCUAUAGGUCAGGGUGCCCUUCUCGACAUAUCACAAAGAUGACAUCCUUAAGCCUGCAGCCUGCUGGCAUCACCUGCCACCUUUGGGUGGAUGGACAGCUGCCCAGGCUCCACCCUGAGUUGGCGGCCCCAGAGUGGAGCUCAGACAGGUGAUGUAGACAAGCGUCCAGGGUGAGAACAGCUCGUGGAACGGCGGGAGAGCCACCCUCCAUGAAAUACCCAAGAACCAGGGCUUGGCCUGCUGGUCCACAUCCAGGCUCUGGCCAUUGUCCAGAAGCAUUUCUGCUUCUCUGGCCUCUGUUUCCCACUCCUUCUUUAUCUAAUGCCCUGGACCAGAGCUGGGUAAGAAAACUUUCAAGGAGGAUGGAAAUGUCCUAUAUCUGCACCGUCCGAUAAUGUAGCCACCAGCCCCGGGGGCUGUUGAGGAUUUGAAAUGUGGCCAGUGUGAGCGAAGAACUGGAUUUUUAAUUUAACUUAGUUAAUUUAAAUUUAAAUUGUCACUUGUGUCUUGUGGCCGUCAUACUGGACAGUGCAGACCUAAAACCUCUGGGAUAAAAGGGGCCUCAGGGAUCACUGAGUCUAUCAAUCUCAUUUUAUAGGGGAAGAAACUAGAUCAAAAGCUUUGGAGCAGGAAAAAGGUAUACAACUCCCGGUCCCACUGAUCACUAGCUAUGGGAAUGUAGGAAGCAGUGGAGGACACCUAUGUGACGUGACUGUGGUGGCAUGCAGAGGGUACAUGAAGCACACCCAAGGAUGAAGAGAGCAAGGAUGGGAUGCAAAUGAGUGAGCCAAUGCUUUUCUGGAACUUUCCUGAGGGAGUGCUUUGGCUUGAAAACCUACUCUUAAUGGGAUUACUUUUAAGCUGUAUUUCUUUUGGCCUUCAUUCCUAGAGAAACGUUUUUAGAAAAAUCAGCAAAGAGAAGAUCAAAAUAAUAUGUUGAAACCUUGGGCUCUGCUCUCUUGGCUAUAGGCUUCCUGAGUGGUUUGAAAGACAGAGAUUCUAACAACUAUCACAAAAGGCCCUAAUGAUUCUCCGCAUUUAAGGCUCCCAUCCUAUUUCCCCCUUGUCUCAGUGGCUGGCAUAUUUUUAGAUAAGACACAACCAAAGACUUUAUUGAGAAUACAACAAUAUAAAAUAAUGAUGGUGAAAAAGCUCCAAAUGAGAUGGAUAAGGUUUUGUUUUUUGUUUUUGUUUUUUCUUUCCUAUGGAUUAAAAAGCAUUUACCUGUGUCAGCAAAGUGAUGAAAAAAAUCUGUCUCUAGAUAGAAAAAACAGCCUUUUUUUGGAAGGACAUGCUGUUCAUAUUCUGACAACCAUUUCUUUCUACUGGCUGGUCUAAGAAAAAUAAAGAAUAUAAUUUCUCAUUCUAACUACAUUGGUUAUUUUAAAGACAUAGGUAGAAUUCAUCCUUCAAGCUUCCUGGGAAGAAGCUGAGAUGUUUCUAACUCUCCCAUUGCAUCAAAUUCUGGGCCUGAUGUGAAAAGGAUUUGGGGGUAGGAAGGAAGGGGAGCAGGGGCCCAUGCAUAUCCUCUGAUCGCAGACCUAGUGACUUGCCAAUGUCUUAAUCAUUAGGGAAAGGUGAUCAAGAAUCUUUAGCUUCUAGGGAUUUAGAAUUAAAAUGUCCACAAUAGUAUAUGGAAUGACUGGCCAAUAGAGACCUGCUGUAUAGCUCAGGGAACUCUAUCCAAUAUUUUGUGAUAAUCUAUACAGGAAAAGAAUCUGAAAAAGGAUGGGUUGUGUAUAUGUGUAAUUGAAUCACUUUGCUGUACAGCAGAAAUAAUCACAACAUAGUAAAUCAACUACAAUUCAAUAAAACUUAAAAAAAAAUCAGUGUAGCUAAAAAAAAAAUUGUCCAUAAUAUGUAGAAAUGCUUUCAUCCUCCCAGCUGCCAAUAUCCAGCCCUGUGGAGAUGCCGGAAUCAAAAGACUCAAAACUUAACAGAAUCUUUGGUGUAUGUCCUUCUAUUUCUUUUUUUUUUUUUUUUUUUGGCCUGCACCCGAGGCAUAUGGAAGU